UGUCUGUUUGUUUUGUUUUUGUUUUGUUGCCUCCCACUUCGGAUGAGGAAGGUAUAGUACAUUAUGUUGUAGAAAGUAGCUGUAGAAAUAUUAAUAGCAAUGAUUAUAUUUUUGGGUACUAUGAAUUUUAUCCUCAGUAAUUUGUUUCAUUCUUCCUUUUUUUCUCCCUAAACUCUGGUUAGCCGUCCUCGUUCUCCAAAUGAUUUGCUGGCCUUGUUCCGGUAUCCGAGGGAUCCUUACACAGUUGAACAGGCACGGGCGGGAGAAAUCUUUGAACGGACAUUGCAGCUCAUUCAGGAGCAUGUGCAGCAUGGCUUGAUGGUCGACCUCAACGGAACAAGUUACCACUACAACGACCUGGUGUCUCCGCAGUACCUGAACCUCAUCGCAAACCUGUCUGGCUGCACCGCCCACCGGCGCGUGAACAACUGCUCAGACAUGUGCUUCCACCAGAAGUACCGGACGCAUGAUGGCACCUGCAACAACCUGCAGCACCCCAUGUGGGGCGCCUCGCUGACCGCCUUCGAGCGCCUGCUGAAAUCCGUGUACGAGAAUGGAUUCAACACCCCUCGGGGCAUCAACCCCCACCGACUGUACAACGGGCACGCACUUCCCAUGCCGCGCCUGGUGUCCACCACCCUGAUCGGGACGGAGACCGUCACACCCGACGAGCAGUUCACCCACAUGCUGAUGCAGUGGGGCCAGUUCCUGGACCACGACCUAGACUCCACGGUGGUGGCCCUGAGCCAGGCACGCUUCUCCGACGGACAGCA
This 773-nucleotide small RNA is filed under the name Pongo abelii (Sumatran orangutan). Its description in RNAcentral is "retained intron". Lineage: Eukaryota; Metazoa; Chordata; Mammalia; Primates; Hominidae. The record is from RNAcentral.